Small nuclear RNA from Gorilla gorilla gorilla (western lowland gorilla), 113 nucleotides. The record is from Ensembl. Lineage: Eukaryota; Metazoa; Chordata; Mammalia; Primates; Hominidae.
ACCAUCCUUCUCGUGGGGUUGUGUUACUGUCCAGUGAGCGCAUGGUGAGGGCAAUACCGCUAACGCCUACACAACACACCCACAUCAACUACGGUGGUGCAAUUUUUUGAAAA